AGGCUGGCGCGGACGGGCUCCUCGCCAAUUCGGUCAGGUCCGGAAGGAAGCAGCCGUAACGAGUUUCGGUCCGGGUCGCUGCCGGUCUUCC
Molecule: signal recognition particle RNA, 91 nt
Filed under: alpha proteobacterium BAL199
Lineage: Bacteria; Pseudomonadati; Pseudomonadota; Alphaproteobacteria
Description: Bacterial small signal recognition particle RNA
Rfam family: Bacterial small signal recognition particle RNA
About the family: The signal recognition particle (SRP) is a universally conserved ribonucleoprotein involved in the co-translational targeting of proteins to membranes. Archaeal SRP consists of a 7S RNA and homologues of the eukaryotic SRP19 and SRP54 proteins.
Source: Rfam by way of RNAcentral